AUUGAACGCUGGCGGCAGGCCUAACACAUGCAAGUCGAACGAGUGGCGGACGGGUGAGUAAUGUCUGGGCAACUGCCUGAUGUAGGGGGAUAACUACUGGAAACGGUAGCUACUACCGCAUACCAUCGGAUGUGCCCAGAUGGGAUUAGCUAGUAGGUGGGGUAACGGCUCACCUAGGCGACGAUCCCUAGCUGGUCUGAGAGGAUGACCGGCUACACUGGAACUGAGACACGGCCCAGACUCCUACGGGAGGCAGCAGUGGGGAAUAUUGCACAAUGGGCGAAAGCCUGAUGCAGCCAUGCCGCGUGUAUGAAGAAGGCCUUCGGGUUGUAAAGUACUGUCAGUGGGGAGGCGUUACCCGAAGAAGAAGCAACGGCUAACUCCGUGCCAGCAGCCGCGGUAAUUC
This 406-nucleotide ribosomal RNA is filed under the name uncultured bacterium. Its description in RNAcentral is "partial 16S ribosomal RNA". It matches the Rfam family "Bacterial small subunit ribosomal RNA", at positions 30 to 526 of the family's 1533-position model. The record is from RNAcentral.